This is a non-coding RNA of Salmo salar (Atlantic salmon), 70 nucleotides long. The record is from Rfam. Lineage: Eukaryota; Metazoa; Chordata; Actinopteri; Salmoniformes; Salmonidae.
UCCCGUGUGGCUCAGUUGGUAGAGCAUGGUGUUUGCAACGCCAGGGUUGUAGGUUCGAUUUCCACGGGGG